GGUGAGUAACGCGUGAGAAUCUGGCUCCAGGUCGGGGAUAACAGUUGGAAACGACUGCUAAUACCGGAUGUGCCGAAAGGUGAAAGAUUUAUUGCCUGGAGAUGAGCUCGCGUCUGAUUAGCUAGUUGGUGGUGUAAGGGACCACCAAGGCGUCGAUCAGUAGCUGGUCUGAGAGGAUGAUCAGCCACACUGGGACUGAGACACGGCCCAGACUCCUACGGGAGGCAGCAGUGGGGAAUUUUCCGCAAUGGGCGAAAGCCUGACGGAGCAAUACCGCGUGAGGGAGGAAGGCUCUUGGGUCGUAAACCUCUUUUCUCAAGGAAGAAGAAAGUGACGGUACUUGAGGAAUAAGCAUCGGCUAACUCCGUGCCAGCAGCCGCGGUAAUACGGAGGAUGCAAGCGUUAUCCGGAAUGAUUGGGCGUAAAGGGUCUGCAGGUGGAACUGAAAGUCUGCUGUUAAAGAGUUUGGCUUAACCAAAUAAAAGCGGUGGAAACUACAGAACUAGAGUGCGGUAGGGGCAAAAGGAAUUCCUGGUGUAGCGGUGAAAUGCGUAGAUAUCAGGAAGAACACCGGUGGCGAAAGCGUUUUGCUAGACCGUAACUGACACUGAGGGACGAAAGCUAGGGGAGCGAAUGGGAUUAGAUACCCCAGUAGUCCUAGCCGUAAACGAUGGAUACUAGGCGUGGCUUGUAUCGACCCGAGCCGUGCCGGAGCUAACGCGUUAAGUAUCCCGCCUGGGGAGUACGCACGCAAGUGUGAAACUCAAAGGAAUUGACGGGGGCCCGCACAAGCGGUGGAGUAUGUGGUUAAUUCGAUGCAACGCGAAGAACCUUACCAAGACUUGACAUCCUGCGAAUCCCGGUGAAAGCUGGGAGUGCCCUUAGGGAGCGCAGAGACAGGUGGUGCAUGGCUGUCGUCAGCUCGUGUCGUGAGAUGUUGGGUUAAGUCCCGCAACGAGCGCAACCCUCGUUUUUAGUUGCCAGCAUUAAGUUGGGCACUCUAGAGAGACUGCCGGUGACAAACCGGAGGAAGGUGAGGAUGACGUCAAGUCAGCAUGCCCCUUACGUCUUGGGCUACACACGUACUACAAUGCUACGGACAGAGGGCAGCAGAGCCAGGGAUGGCAAGCGAAUCCAGAAACCGUAGCUCAGUUCAGAUCGAAGGCUGCAACUCGCCUUCGUGAAGGAGGAAUCGCUAGUAAUUGCAGGUCAGCAUACUGCAGUGAAUUCGUUCCCGGGCCUUGUACACACCGCCCGUCACACCAUGGAAGUUGGUCACGCCCGAAGUCAUUACCCCAACCGAAAGGAGGGGGAUGCCUAAGGUAGGACUGGUGACUGGGGUGAAGUCGUAACAAGGU
RNAcentral lists this ribosomal RNA (1358 nucleotides) under Cylindrospermopsis raciborskii. RNAcentral describes it as "bacterial SSU rRNA". It matches the Rfam family "Bacterial small subunit ribosomal RNA". The record is from RNAcentral. Lineage: Bacteria; Bacillati; Cyanobacteriota; Cyanophyceae; Nostocales; Aphanizomenonaceae.